CCCUUAGAUGUCCGGGGCCGCACGCGCGCUACACUGAAGGAAUCAGCGUGGCUUUCUCCCUGACCCGAAAGGGUUGGGAAACCCGUUGAAUCUCCUUCGUGAUAGGGAUUGGGGCUUGAAAUUGUUCCCCAUGAACGAGGAAUUCCCAGUAAGCGCGAGUCAUAAGCUCGCGUUGAUUACGUCCCUGCCCUUUGUACACACCGCCCGUCGCUACUACCGAUUGAAUGUGCCAGUGAAAAGUUAGGAUUGGGCGUGGGAGACGGCAACGUAUUCCACAUCCGAGAAAAUCUUUAAACUUUCCCAUUUAGAGGAAGGAGAAGUCGUAACA
Molecule: ribosomal RNA, 328 nt
Filed under: uncultured eukaryote
Lineage: Eukaryota
Description: partial 18S ribosomal RNA
Rfam family: Eukaryotic small subunit ribosomal RNA
Source: RNAcentral